UUUGAAGUGAUCCAUGCAGUGAAGGAAGCCAAACGGCAAAAGUCUGUACAGAGGAAUACAAAGCGCAUAAGAGGCUGGCUAAAUUGAGUAAGUAUGCACAGCAAUACGAAGCCUAGAGAAAACAGGUUUGUUUAGUAGAUGCAUCGGGGAUAGACGGAAAGACGAAGUGUU
RNAcentral lists this non-coding RNA (171 nucleotides) under Flavobacterium urumqiense. The record is from RNAcentral. Lineage: Bacteria; Pseudomonadati; Bacteroidota; Flavobacteriia; Flavobacteriales; Flavobacteriaceae.